UCCUUAUUAAGAGUGGUGGAGGGACUGGCCCUGUGAAACCCGGCAACCGCUGUUCAAACUUGAACAGAAUGGUGCUAAAUCCUUGAACGAGAUUCGUUCGGAGAUGAGGA
RNAcentral lists this non-coding RNA (110 nucleotides) under Rossellomorea marisflavi. RNAcentral's name for it is "Bacillus marisflavi SAM-I sequence". It matches the Rfam family "SAM riboswitch aptamer (S box leader)". From Rfam's summary of the family: The SAM riboswitch is found upstream of a number of genes which code for proteins involved in methionine or cysteine biosynthesis in Gram-positive bacteria. The record is from Rfam by way of RNAcentral. RNAcentral also lists the same sequence under 1 other name. Lineage: Bacteria; Bacillati; Bacillota; Bacilli; Caryophanales; Bacillaceae.